AAAACAAUCCUACGGGAGGCAGCAGUCGAGAAUUUUUCACAAUGGGGGAAACCCUGAUGGAGCGACGCCGCGUGGAGGACGAAGGCCUUCGGGUCGUAAACUCCUGUCAUGCGGGAACAAGAAAGUGAUAGUACCGCAAGAGGAAGAGACGGCUAACUCUGUGCCAGCAGCCGCGGUAAUACAGAGGUCUCAAGCGUUGUUCGGAUUCAUUGGGCGUAAAGGGUGCGUAGGUGGCGAUGCAAGUCUGGUGUGAAAUCUUGGGGCUCAACCUCAAAAUUGCACCGGAUACUGCGUUGCUCGAGGAUUGUAGAGGAGAGUGGAAUUCACGGUGUAGCAGUGA
Molecule: ribosomal RNA, 340 nt
Filed under: uncultured bacterium
Lineage: Bacteria
Description: bacterial SSU rRNA
Rfam family: Bacterial small subunit ribosomal RNA
Source: RNAcentral